Molecule: ribosomal RNA, 595 nt
Filed under: Huiozyma sinensis
Lineage: Eukaryota; Fungi; Ascomycota; Saccharomycetes; Saccharomycetales; Saccharomycetaceae
Description: Kazachstania sinensis partial small subunit ribosomal RNA
Source: RNAcentral
CGAAAGAUUGAUCUAGUUACUUAUUAGGAUGAUAUUUAAAUAUAUAAAUAAAAAUAAUAUAAAUAAAUUGAUUAAAAAUAAAAUCCAUAUAUAAUUUAAAUAAUGAUUUAAAAUAACCUAUAUUAUAGUUAAAUAUAAUAAAUAGGUGUAUUCAGUAUAUAUAUAUUUAUAUAUAUAUAAAGGAUAUAUAUAAUAGUCUUAACAAAUAAUUGUGCCAGCAGUUGCGGUUAUACAAUGAAGGCUAGCAUUAAUCAUAAUGGUUUAAAGGAUUCGUAGAAUGUAUAUUAUUUAAUAAUAUAUAGAGUUAAUAUAAUAUUAAUUAAAGAAUUAUAAUAGUAAGGAUGAAAUAAUAAUAAUAAUUAUAAGACUGGUAUAUAUGAAAAUAUUAAUUAAUAAUUAACUGACAUUGAGGAAUGAAAACUAAAGUAGCAAAACAGAUUCGAUACCUGUGUAGUUUUAGUAGUAAACGAUGAAUAUAAUUAUUUAUUUAAAUAUAAUAAAUAAAUAAUAAAUGAAAAUAAAAAUAUUCCACCUGAAGAGUAUAUUAGCAAUAAUGAAACUCAAGACAAUAGACGGUUACAGACUUAAGUAGUGG